AGGUGAGGAGUGUGUGAGACAGGUGAGGAGUGUGUGAGACAGGUGAGGUGUGUGUGAGACAGGUGAGGUGUGUGAGAGACAGGUGAGGUGUGUGUGAGACAGGUACAGGGUGAGACAGGUGAGGUGUGUGUGAGACAGGUGAGGUGUGUGUGAGACAGGUACAGGGUGAGACAGGUGAGGUGUGUGUGAGACAGGUGAGGUGUGUGUGAGACAGGUACAGGGUGAGACAGGUGAGGUGUGUGUGAGACAGGUGAGGUGUGUGUGAGACAGGUACAGGGUGAGACAGGUGAGGAGUGUGUGAGACAGGUGAGGUGUGUGAGACAGGUACAGGGUGAUACAGGUGAGGAGUGUGUGAGACAGGUACAGGGUGAGACAGGUGAGGAGUGUGAGACAGGUGAGGAGUGUGAGACAGGUGAGGAGUGUGUGAGACAGGUGAGGAGUGUGUGAGACAGGUGAGAAGUGUGUGAGACAGGUGAGGAGUGUGAGACAGGUGAGGAGUGUGAGACAGGUGAGGAGUGUGUGAGACAGGUGAGCUGAUGUAAAUCUGCAGUGGUGUGUAAGGUGUGAAAUGGGUCAGGGAUAAAAGAACACGAGUUGUGAGGUCUUUAAUUCUCCAUGUCUUCCUGUCUGUCUCUCUUUCUGUCUGUG
Molecule: long non-coding RNA, 648 nt
Organism: Ictalurus punctatus (channel catfish)
Lineage: Eukaryota; Metazoa; Chordata; Actinopteri; Siluriformes; Ictaluridae
Source: Ensembl